RNAcentral lists this unclassified non-coding RNA (343 nucleotides) under soil metagenome. Its description in RNAcentral is "partial contains 5.8S ribosomal RNA, internal transcribed spacer 2, and large subunit ribosomal RNA". The stretch from base 1 to 120 matches the Rfam family "5.8S ribosomal RNA", at positions 35 to 154 of the family's 154-position model. The record is from RNAcentral.
GAUGAAGAACGCAGCGAAAUGCGAUAAGUAAUGUGAAUUGCAGAAUUCAGUGAAUCAUCGAAUCUUUGAACGCACAUUGCGCCCGCUAGUAUUCUGGCGGGCAUGCCUGUCCGAGCGUCAUUUCAACCCUCAAGCCCCCGGGCUUGGUGUUGGGGAUCGGCGAGCCUCCGCGCCCGCCGUCCCCUAAAUCUGGUGGCGGUCUCGCUGUAGUUUCCUCUGCGUAGUAGCACACCUCGCACUGGGAAACAGCGCGGCCACGCCGUUAAACCCCCAACUUCUGAACGUUUGACCUCGGAUCAGGUAGGAAUACCCGCUGAACUUAAGCAUAUCAAUAAGCGGAGGA